GACGAACGCUGGCGGCGUGCUUAACACAUGCAAGUCGAACGGAAACGCCCUGAUUGCUGGGUCCUCGAGUGGGCAACGGGCGGGUAAGAGGUGGAUGCAUCGCCCUGCACUUCGGGGUAGGCCUGGGAGACUGGGUAUAUACCCUGAUAGCACCUAUGUCCUGCGGGUUGGUUCGAAAGUUUUUUGGGUGUUGGGUGAGCUCGCGGCCUAUCAGCUUGUUAGGGGGGUAAUGGGCUAACAAGCCGCCGACGGGUAGCCGGCCUGAGGGAGUGGACGGCCACACUGGGUCUGAGAGACGGCACAGACGCCUACGGGAGGCAGAAGGGGGGAAGAUUGCACAAGGGGCGCAAGGUUGAUGCAGCGGCGCCGCGGGUUGGAUAGCGGCCUUGGGGUUGUAGACUACUUGCGCGAGGGACGAAGCUUGUUGUGACGGUACCUAGAGAAGAAGCACCGGCUAACUACGUG
Molecule: ribosomal RNA, 465 nt
Filed under: uncultured bacterium
Lineage: Bacteria
Description: partial 16S ribosomal RNA
Rfam family: Bacterial small subunit ribosomal RNA
Source: RNAcentral